This 1245-nucleotide ribosomal RNA is filed under the name Salmonella enterica subsp. enterica serovar Heidelberg. Its description in RNAcentral is "partial 23S ribosomal RNA". It matches the Rfam family "Bacterial large subunit ribosomal RNA", at positions 137 to 1236 of the family's 2925-position model. The record is from RNAcentral. Lineage: Bacteria; Pseudomonadati; Pseudomonadota; Gammaproteobacteria; Enterobacterales; Enterobacteriaceae.
GACUCGUCACACUAUCAUUAACUGAAUCCAUAGGUUAAUGAGGCGAACCGGGGGAACUGAAACAUCUAAGUACCCCGAGGAAAAGAAAUCAACCGAGAUUCCCCCAGUAGCGGCGAGCGAACGGGGAGGAGCCCAGAGCCUGAAUCAGCAUGUGUGUUAGUGGAAGCGUCUGGAAAGGCGCGCGAUACAGGGUGACAGCCCCGUACACAAAAGCGCAUGUGCUGUGAGCUCGAUGAGUAGGGCGGGACACGUGGUAUCCUGUCUGAAUAUGGGGGGACCAUCCUCCAAGGCUAAAUACUCCUGACUGACCGAUAGUGAACCAGUACCGUGAGGGAAAGGCGAAAAGAACCCCGGCGAGGGGAGUGAAAAAGAACCUGAAACCGUGUACGUACAAGCAGUGGGAGCCCCACCACUAAGCCAGUGGUGAACUCCACAUACGCAUCCUUUGCUGAGGAUACGGUUAACGGAGCGAAAGCGACGUUCAACCGCAAAAGAAGCAGAGGGGGCUUAGUGGUGGGGUGACUGCGUACCUUUUGUAUAAUGGGUCAGCGACUUAUAUUCUGUAGCAAGGUUAACCGAAUAGGGGAGCCGGAGGGAAACCGAGUCUUAAUUGGGCGUUAAGUUGCAGGGUAUAGACCCGAAACCCGGUGAUCUAGCCAUGGGCAGGUUGAAGGUUGGGUAACACUAACUGGAGGACCGAACCGACUAAUGUUGAAAAAUUAGCGGAUGACCUGUGGCUGGGGGUGAAAGGCCAAUCAAACCGGGAGAUAGCUGGUUCUCCCCGAAAGCUAUUUAGGUAGCGCCUCGUGAAUUCAUCUCCGGGGGUAGAGCACUGUUUCGGCUAGGGGGCCAUCCCGGCUUACCAACCCGAUGCAAACUGCGAAUACCGGAGAAUGUUAUCACGGGAGACACACGGCGGGUGCUAACGUCCGUCGUGAAGAGGGAAACAACCCAGACCGCCAGCUAAGGUCCCAAAGUCAUGGUUAAGUGGGAAACGAUGUGGGAAGGCCCAGACAGCCAGGAUGUUGGCUUAGAAGCAGCCAUCAUUUAAAGAAAGCGUAAUAGCUCACUGGUCGAGUCGGCCUGCGCGGAAGAUGUAACGGGGCUAAACCAUGCACCGAAGCUGCGGCAGCGAACGUAUCACCCAAGACAACUUUACGGAGUUGACGAUUGACGGAGCGAAGCGACGUCAAAGCGUUCAUUAAAGUCGAGUUGGCUUAGGGAUACGUUCGUUGGGUAGGGGAG